This is a long non-coding RNA of Microtus oregoni (creeping vole), 691 nucleotides long. RefSeq lists it as uncharacterized. The record is from RefSeq and is a predicted model, not a curated record. The transcript is spliced from 4 exons. NCBI's taxonomy places the organism in Eukaryota, Metazoa, Chordata, Mammalia, Rodentia, Cricetidae.
CAACAUGAAGGGCUCAGAGAGGGGAAGGAACUCGCUCAUGUGACUCGGGCAGCAGGCAACUGUGGGUAGCAGCCUACCAUCAUGGCUUUCCCAUCUGGCCACCUCCAUAGCAGCAGAGCUCUUGGAGAAGUUCAGAAGGCAGCCAGCUAAGGGGCGUGUCACAGCGUCACCUCUUCCCAGCUGCGUGACUUUAGGUGCUCUUCGUCCAUCAGCCCAGGCAACUAACGUGGCUGAUCAUAAUGGAAUGGCUCUAGUCCUCCUGCCUGUGGUGCCCCUCCUCCCACCGAGGACACUCUGCCCUCAUCUGGUCCUGAAAGGCCGCACUGUCCUCUGGAGAGAUGAGAUGGAGGGCUCAGCCCCAGAUAGGUCACAAAAGGAGUGGAACCCAAACCCGGCCUGAGGUGGAUGGUUGCGUGUUCCUACCCCACGCGGGCUGUGUGCCCUGCCCUGCUCCCAGAGCAACCCUAGCCCCACUGCUCAGGCUGGCUACCCUUGCUUUCCCGGGGACACUGAAGACACCUUGAGCUUGUCCACAUCCCAGCCCAUCUUCUCCGAUGAGUCCUCCACGAGAGCUAGUGCUCCUCGGUGCCAUUGGGCAAGGCAGGAUUUGGGAAACAGAGGCCCAGGAGCCAUCCCUCCAGGGACCUAGAAUUCCUCACCAAGCUGCAAGGGAAGAGGGGUCUCACCCGGC